AGAGGUGUAGGAUAAGUGGGAGCUCUCGGGCGAAAUUGAAAUACCGCUACUUUUAACGUUAUUUUACUUAUUCCAUGAAUUAGAGGAGAGGCACGAACCCUCUUUUUGGACACAAGGUCAGCUUCGGCCGGCCGAUCUGGGCAGAAGACAUUGUCAGGUGGGGAGUUAGGUUGGGGCAGCAUAUCUGUUAAAAGAUAAUGCAGGUGUCCUAAGAUGAGCUCAAUGAGAACAGAAGUCUCGUAUAGAACAAAAGGGUAAAAGCUCGUUUGAUUCUGAUUUCCAGUAUGAAUACGAACCGUGAAAGCGUGGCCUAUUGAUCCUUUAGACCUUCGGAAUUUGAAGGUAGAGGUGUCAGAAAAGUUACCACAGGGAUAACUGGCUUGUGGCAGCCAAGCGUUCAUAGCGACGUUACUUUUUGAUCCUUCGAUUCCGGCUCUUCCUAUCAUUGUGAAACAAAAUUCACCAAGUGUUGGAUUGUUCACCCACCAAUAGGGAACGUGAGCUGGGUUUAGACCGUCGUGAGACAGGUU
RNAcentral lists this non-coding RNA (530 nucleotides) under Gossypium arboreum. Its description in RNAcentral is "Eukaryotic large subunit ribosomal RNA". It matches the Rfam family "Eukaryotic large subunit ribosomal RNA", at positions 2454 to 2984 of the family's 3401-position model. The record is from Rfam by way of RNAcentral. Lineage: Eukaryota; Viridiplantae; Streptophyta; Magnoliopsida; Malvales; Malvaceae.